RNAcentral lists this unclassified non-coding RNA (112 nucleotides) under Chryseobacterium profundimaris. RNAcentral's name for it is "Flavo-1 RNA". The record is from RNAcentral. Lineage: Bacteria; Pseudomonadati; Bacteroidota; Flavobacteriia; Flavobacteriales; Weeksellaceae.
CCCUAGCCCUGAUCACAGCAAUUGUCUGAGCUCUUUUUUAUUUUCGGGCUGCGGCGGCUUCGCCGCCGCAGCCCGAAAAUAAAAAAAGCGAGUGCGGAGAGCAGGAAAAGUU